Molecule: ribosomal RNA, 730 nt
Filed under: uncultured bacterium
Lineage: Bacteria
Description: bacterial SSU rRNA
Rfam family: Bacterial small subunit ribosomal RNA
Source: RNAcentral
AACAGGAUUAGAUACCCUGGUAGUCCACGCCGUAAACGAUGUCGACUUGGAGGUUGUUCCCUUGAGGAGUGGCUUCCGGAGCUAACGCGUUAAGUCGACCGCCUGGGGAGUACGGCCGCAAGGUUAAAACUCAAAUGAAUUGACGGGGGCCCGCACAAGCGGUGGAGCAUGUGGUUUAAUUCGAUGCAACGCGAAGAACCUUACCUACUCUUGACAUCCAGAGAACUUAGCAGAGAUGCUUUGGUGCCUUCGGGAACUCUGAGACAGGUGCUGCAUGGCUGUCGUCAGCUCGUGUUGUGAAAUGUUGGGUUAAGUCCCGCAACGAGCGCAACCCUUAUCCUUUGUUGCCAGCGGUUCGGCCGGGAACUCAAAGGAGACUGCCAGUGAUAAACUGGAGGAAGGUGGGGAUGACGUCAAGUCAUCAUGGCCCUUACGAGUAGGGCUACACACGUGCUACAAUGGCAUAUACAAAGAGAAGCGACCUCGCGAGAGCAAGCGGACCUCACAAAGUAUGUCGUAGUCCGGAUCGGAGUCUGCAACUCGACUCCGUGAAGUCGGAAUCGCUAGUAAUCGUAGAUCAGAAUGCUACGGUGAAUACGUUCCCGGGCCUUGUACACACCGCCCGUCACACCAUGGGAGUGGGUUGCAAAAGAAGUAGGUAGCUUAACCUUCGGGAGGGCGCUUACCACUUUGUGAUUCAUGACUGGGGUGAAGUCGUAACAAGGUAACC